Nicotiana attenuata is the source of this 2855-nucleotide RNA transcript. It is a transcript of the gene named kinesin-like protein KIN-10C, with no coding region annotated. The record is from RefSeq and is a predicted model, not a curated record. The transcript has 18 exons. Lineage: Eukaryota; Viridiplantae; Streptophyta; Magnoliopsida; Solanales; Solanaceae.
GGUAGGACAGACGAAGAAUUUGAAAAUUGAACCCUAACAACGGCUACUUCUCUACACCAUAAUACAUCACUAGUUCACUACCACUAACCAGACAAUCCACUCUCUCACUCUAAUUCAUCCAAAUUCUCCAUAAUUGUAAAAUUUCAAGCUCUGAUUUCUUCCAUGGCUUUGUCAACGCCCGAUUCAAAUCGCUUCAAACUACCCAUCGCUGGCCCAAGAAUCUCGCGCAGAGUACGAAUUGUUGGAAAAAUCCGAGGAUUUAUAGACCAAGAGUCUGAAAUAUCGGGUCGAGAUUUGAAACCGUGGGUCACUGUGUGCCGGCACAUAGAGAGCGAUUCGGAUCCCGGAAAAGUUACAAUCUCAUUCGGAGAUGAAGGGAGUAGUCGCAAAGAUAGAUAUGAAUUAGAUAAUUGCUAUGAACAAGACGAGGAUAAUGCUGUAGUAUUCUCGAGAGAGGUAAAGCCACUGAUAGCAGAAGUUCUCAACGGUCGAAAUGCAUCCAUUAUUGCAUAUGGGGCAAGAGGCAGUGGAAAAACCCACACAAUCCAGGGUUCUGUGGACAAAGAAGGUUUGGCAGCAAUGGCAAUAGCUGAGAUCCUUUCGCAAACAAAGGAUGCCCAGAAAGCAGUCCUCGUUUCUUUUUAUGAGGUGUUCCAGGAUCAUGUCUAUGAUCUUUUGGAUCCUAAUCAUCCCGAAGUUCAAGUGCUUGAAGAUUCUCAAGGAAAAAUAAAGCUUAAAGGACUUUCUAAGGCCGCUGUGGAUUCCAUUUCACACUUUCAUGAUCUAAGUGCUUGUUUGGCUGCACCAUGCUAUCCAGUACAAAAGACACCACUCCAAAUACCCAAAAGGAGUCACAAAGGGUUAAUGAUACAUAUAGCAUCUGCUGAUGACAUCCAGGGUAGUAAAUGUCUCAAUGUGAUGAACUUUGUGGAUUUGGCAGGCUAUGAGGAUUCCAGAAGAAGCAGCAAAGAUGGAGUUACGCUUACUGAAAGUGCUAGAAUAAACAAGUCUUUAUAUGGCAUUAUGAACGUGGUGUACGCUCUGAACACAAAUGAGAAGCGUGUUCCUUAUCGAGAAAGCAAACUCACUCGGAUGCUGCAGGAAUCUCUUGGUGGCUCCAGUCAUGUUUUGCUGCUAACCUGCUUGAAUCCAAGUCUUUGCCAAGAUACUCUUUAUGUAGCAAGUUUGGCUUCACGAUCAUGUCAAAGUGCCGGUCAGAUAUUGACAAGCUCUACAAUGAAAAGUAAAAAGCACACCAAUCAGCAAGCACGACUAGUGGGUACCCCGUUGUCUGGGAAAAAGAACAACUCUGCCUCCAAUUUGAUAGGAAGGAAACUAUUCAGUGACAGAAAAGCUAUCAUCUCUAAGCAGGAUGAUGUCACCUCAGCCACAAAGUUUAAGCCUCUUUCAGAGAAUGUUUCAACUAUCAUAUCUUCCUUCCAUAAAAAGACUUCUCAAGACAAGUCCAAUUCAGAUAGCUCUAGAGCCUUGAUAUCAUCAGCAGAAAAUGAAAUCCCAAGUGCUUUCAAGGAAACAAUCUCUAUUCAUAAAAUGGAAAAGGAUGCCUCUCCACCAAAUAAAGCAAAGGAUUUAAAAGUUACUCCCGAAGUUCAUUGUGAUGUCAAAGAAAUUCUUUCUUUUGCACAUGAUGGUGUUGUGGAUACGGAGAAGAAAAGUGGAGAUAUGAACAUAGACAAAGUAGCAUCACCACCACUAAGUGAAAGACUUAGAGAAAUAACGAAUAAUUUACGGUUGUUGGAGUCUUCAACUUCUUUGCAUAUGUUGAUGCCAAAGCAGUUGGACACAUCUCAAGGAAGCCUUGAAAGUUCUGGUGACAUUAUAGAACCCAAAACCCCAACAGCUGAAACUGAUAUGAGAACCGGUGACAAAUUGGAGAUUGCCAUGUAUACUAGUCCUUGGGAAAGAUUUCAUACGCGCAGUUCUGGAGUAAAGAAUUGUCUUGUCCAAGAAUAUCUGAAUUUGUUAAACACUGCAAGCAAAGAAGAGUUAACAAGGAUCCAGGGCAUCGGAGAAAAGAGAGCAACUUACAUUCUUGAACUACGUGAAGAAUCUUCAGAACCCUUUAAGAGUCUUGAAGAUUUGAAAGAAGUUGGUCUCUCGAAAAAGGAGAUAAAUGGCUUGAUGAGGAGAAUGGCUGGACAACUUUUCUGCUAGAAUGGCCUUAUAAGAAUUGUUUGAUGGCAACUAGAAGUUGCCAGCAGUUAUAUUAUGAUGAUUUUGAAUGUAACAUGUUUCUUUGCAAUUGUUCCAACCAAUGGAAAAACAUACUACUUUGUGAUAUGCUAUGCUUUUGUGGAAAUAUACAUAAUUAGUCUCAUGAGACUACUAUCCAAGAACAAGAAUUAUCCAACUGAAGCUGUUACCUUCACUACUGUUUUGUGUGAAAGUUAUCCCAAAAAGGCAUCGAUAAAUCAGCCCAUAGAGCAUCUGGCUCAGUCGUGAUCAUUUCUGUACAAUGGGCCAAAACAAGGGAAGAGAGAAGAAUUAACAAGCAGAAAUUCAUUGUACGGAUUUCGCUUUCGUGAGAGCACUUUUCUUCGAAUCUUGUCUGGGUUAGGUCCAAUUUUCUUCAAAAUUAUCUGGGUGAGUUUUGUUUUUACAAUAAUGUGUUUGAAUUUUCGUUGUUAUUGUUUUUUCGUUAGGUUUAAGUUUGAUUUCCGUACCGUUAGCGUUUAAAUAUUUGUGGUAUAUUAACUUUUACGAAUUUUUUUCUGUUCAUUAGUUCGUCUUAUUUCUGAUAAUUUUGUCACUCUGUUAUUAGUUUUAUGUUGUAAUGUUGUAAUCGUUGUGUAAUUUGUUUUGAUAAGUUUUUCAAAUAUUUUUCUAGUCUCUGU